RNAcentral lists this ribosomal RNA (853 nucleotides) under Hysterobrevium rosae. Its description in RNAcentral is "partial large subunit ribosomal RNA". It matches the Rfam family "Eukaryotic large subunit ribosomal RNA", at positions 67 to 942 of the family's 3401-position model. The record is from RNAcentral. Lineage: Eukaryota; Fungi; Ascomycota; Dothideomycetes; Hysteriales; Hysteriaceae.
AACAGGGAUUGCCCUAGUAACGGCGAGUGAAGCGGCAACAGCUCAAAUUUGAAAUCUGGCCUUUCAGGUCCGAGUUGUAAUUUGUAGAGGAUGCUUCGGCGUUGGACCCGACCUAAGUUCCUUGGAACAGGACGUCACAGAGGGUGAGAAUCCCGUACGUGGCCGGUGUCCCUCGCCAUGUGAAGCUCCUUCGACGAGUCGAGUUGUUUGGGAAUGCAGCUCUAAAUGGGAGGUAAAUUUCUUCUAAAGCUAAAUACUGGCCAGAGACCGAUAGCGCACAAGUAGAGUGAUCGAAAGAUGAAAAGCACUUUGGAAAGAGAGUUAAAAAGUACGUGAAAUUGUUGAAAGGGAAGCGCUUGCAACCAGACCUGCCCGCGGUCGCUCAUCCAGGCUUCUGCCUGGUGCACUCUUCCGCGGUCAGGCCAGCAUCGGUUCGGGCGGUCGGACAAAGGCGGCGGGAAUGUGGCUCCCCUCGGGGAGUGUUAUAGCCCGCCGUGUAAUGCGGCCAGUCCGGACUGAGGUCCGCGCUUCGGCUAGGAUGCUGGCGUAAUGGUUGUAAGCGGCCCGUCUUGAAACACGGACCAAGGAGUCUAACAUCUGUGCGAGUGUUUGGGUGUCAAGCCCGGACGCGUAAUGAAAGUGAACGGAGGCGGGAACCUUUGGGUGCACCGUCGACCGAUCCUGAUGUCUUCGGAUGGAUUUGAGUAAGAGCAUAGCUGUUGGGACCCGAAAGAUGGUGAACUAUGCCUGAAUAGGGUGAAGCCAGAGGAAACUCUGGUGGAGGCUCGCAGCGGUUCUGACGUGCAAAUCGAUCGUCAAAUUUGGGCAUAGGGGCGAAAGACUAAUCGAACUU